Molecule: ribosomal RNA, 375 nt
Filed under: Aphis vernoniae
Lineage: Eukaryota; Metazoa; Arthropoda; Insecta; Hemiptera; Aphididae
Description: bacterial SSU rRNA
Rfam family: Bacterial small subunit ribosomal RNA
Source: RNAcentral
GCGGCAAACGGGUGAGUAAUAUCUGGGAAUCUACCCAAAAGAGGGGGAUAACUACUAGAAAUGGUAGCUAAUACCGCAUAAAGUUGGAAAACCAAAGUGGGGGACCUUUUAGGCCUCACGCUUUUGGAUGAGCCCAGACGAGAUUAGCUUGUUGGUAAGGUAAAAGCUUACCAAGGCCACGAUCUCUAGCUGGUCUGAGAGGAUAACCAGCCACACUGGAACUGAGACACGGUCCAGACUCCUACGGGAGGCAGCAGUGGGGAAUAUUGCACAAUGGGCGAAAGCCUGAUGCAGCUAUGCCGCGUGUAUGAAGAAGGCCUUAGGGUUGUAAAGUACUUUCAGCGGGGAGGAAAAAAAUAAAACUAAUAAUUUUAU